RNAcentral lists this unclassified non-coding RNA (436 nucleotides) under Hevea brasiliensis (rubber tree). The record is from RNAcentral. Lineage: Eukaryota; Viridiplantae; Streptophyta; Magnoliopsida; Malpighiales; Euphorbiaceae.
CACGGCCGUGCUCCUCCUUAUAUCAUCUACCUCGAUCAUGAACACAAAGAAAUCGUGCUUGCAAUUCGUGGGUUAAAUUUGAUCAAGGAAAGCGACUACAAAUUGCUAUUGGACAAUCGACUGGGGAUGCAAAUGUUUGAUGGGGGUUAUGUGCAUCAUGGGUUGUUGAAGUCUGCAUUAUGGUUGUUGAAUGAAGAGAGAGAGACAUUGAAGGAUAUCUGGCAGAAAAAUGGGAAGGAAUGCACUAUGGUGUUUGCAGGACAUUCUUUGGGGUCAGGAGUGGCUGCCUUGUUGACGAUUAUUGCUGUUAAUCAUCGAGAUCAAUUAGGAGGAAUUCCCAGGAACAAAAUCAGGUGUUAUGCUGUGGCUCCAGCUCGAUGUGUGUCACUUAACUUGGCGGUUAAGUACGCAGAUGUGAUUAACUCCAUUGUGCUGC